GCAUUCAGUUGCCAUCGGGUAAUGCCGGGCGACUCUGGAAGGACUGCCAUCGACAAGAUGGAGGAAGGUGGGGAUGACGUCAAGUCAUCAUGGCCCUUAUGUCCAGGGCGACACACGUGCUACAAUGGCCGGCACAACGGGAAGCGAGUUCGCGAGGACGAGCGGAUCCCUCAAAGCCGGUCGCAGUUCGGAUUGAAGUCUGCAACCCGACUUCAUGAAGCUGGAAUCGCUAGUAAUCGUGGAUCAGCCAAGCCGCGGUGAAUACGUUCCCGGGCCUU
RNAcentral lists this ribosomal RNA (278 nucleotides) under uncultured Synergistaceae bacterium. Its description in RNAcentral is "partial 16S ribosomal RNA". It matches the Rfam family "Bacterial small subunit ribosomal RNA", at positions 1107 to 1382 of the family's 1533-position model. Lineage: Bacteria; Thermotogati; Synergistota; Synergistia; Synergistales; Synergistaceae. The record is from RNAcentral.